UUCUCCAAAGUAACCGCACCAAACGCACCGUACUUCCCCUUCAUAACCGGUCCAAACUCACCUCUCGAACUCGACGCCGAACCUAAAUCCACCGGUGCAGCAUCCGGAGCCAGAAAGCACCGCUCCAAAGCUGCAACGGAUUCGCCACCGUCGAUAAUCGAAGGAGACGAACAUUUAAUGACAAGAUUCCUCCGCAGCUUACAGGUCACAGGCUGGACAACCGGCAGCUGCUGGCGCGGGCAAAGUUGAGGAAUCGGAGGAAGACUCGGCUUUAACGGCAAGGUCUUGGCGGCGCUAGUGGUGGUGGUGGGGAUUUGAGCAGUGUGGAAAAAGAAGUGAGACAUGUUUUAAAGAGAAAAGCUAUUUUCUGUUUGGAUACCGAUAAAAACUCAGUUCUUUUUUUCUCCUUUUUCCCCCUUCCUCUGGUUAUUUUCUCGGAUGUUGCUUCAUUUCUCUGGAAAGUGUUUCUCUCUCUAAAGAUUUGGAGCUCUGUUUUG
This 497-nucleotide unclassified non-coding RNA is filed under the name Hevea brasiliensis (rubber tree). The record is from RNAcentral. Lineage: Eukaryota; Viridiplantae; Streptophyta; Magnoliopsida; Malpighiales; Euphorbiaceae.